This 766-nucleotide ribosomal RNA is filed under the name Vibrio alginolyticus. RNAcentral describes it as "partial 23S ribosomal RNA". It matches the Rfam family "Bacterial large subunit ribosomal RNA", at positions 419 to 1188 of the family's 2925-position model. The record is from RNAcentral. RNAcentral also lists the same sequence under 2 other names. Lineage: Bacteria; Pseudomonadati; Pseudomonadota; Gammaproteobacteria; Vibrionales; Vibrionaceae.
GGGACACGUGAUAUCCUGUCUGAAUAUGGGGGGACCAUCCUCCAAGGCUAAAUACUACUGACUGACCGAUAGUGAACCAGUACCGUGAGGGAAAGGCGAAAAGAACCCCUGUGAGGGGAGUGAAAUAGAACCUGAAACCGUGUACGUACAAGCAGUAGGAGCAGGCUUUGUCCUGUGACUGCGUACCUUUUGUAUAAUGGGUCAGCGACUUAUAUUCAGUGGCAAGGUUAACCAUCUAGGGGAGCCGUAGGGAAACCGAGUCUUAACUGGGCGUUCAGUCUCUGGAUAUAGACCCGAAACCAGGUGAUCUAGCCAUGGGCAGGUUGAAGGUUGAGUAACAUCAACUGGAGGACCGAACCGACUAAUGUUGAAAAAUUAGCGGAUGACUUGUGGCUAGGGGUGAAAGGCCAAUCAAACCUGGAGAUAGCUGGUUCUCCCCGAAAGCUAUUUAGGUAGCGCCUCGGACGAAUACUACUGGGGGUAGAGCACUGUUAAGGCUAGGGGGUCAUCCCGACUUACCAACCCUUUGCAAACUCCGAAUACCAGUAAGUACUAUCCGGGAGACACACGGCGGGUGCUAACGUCCGUCGUGGAGAGGGAAACAACCCAGACCGCCAGCUAAGGUCCCAAAUUACUACUAAGUGGGAAACGAUGUGGGAAGGCUCAGACAGCCAGGAUGUUGGCUUAGAAGCAGCCAUCAUUUAAAGAAAGCGUAAUAGCUCACUGGUCGAGUCGGCCUGCGCGGAAGAUGUAACGGGGCUAAGUA